GCGGCCAGGGGCAGGCAUUGCUCCUCCGUGGUCCGCGCCCCUCGGUAGCCAGCGGUUCUCAGAAGGGGAGGAGGCGCCGCGGAGGAAGAGGGCUAUUUGCAGAGGAAAGAUCAAGGCCCGCCGAUCCCCCCUCGCUUCCCUAAGGUCUUCGGUUGAUAAUUUAUCCUGGUCCCUCAGCUCCGAGGAACUUUGCUCCAGGGCUCUGGGCCAGGACCCUGGUUCGCGCCCUCCGGAGGGGCGCAGGGCGUGGAGCAGAAGUCCUGGGGAGCGGCCGGCAGGGACCCCAGGCCACGGGAGGCGCUCAGACUGGUGCGGGGAAGCCCAGGCCUCCCCCAGCACCCGACCCGCGCGCCUCCUGCGGGACCUCGGCGUGCACAGCCUCUCUGGCCCGCCUGGGGCAGGCGCUCUCCUCCCGCCACCCGUGACCUAGCAGGUCAAGAAGGAGGGGUCCGGGCGCUGGGGACGCGAUGGACGAGAGACUGGGUCGGCGUCGGACAUAGGGGCUGUGCACUGCGGCCACCACGGGCGCCACUCGGGGUAUCGACAGGUGCCCAAAUGGUGGUCCCAGGAGGAGGGCGGGCACCGGCGGGGGUGGCCCAAGCUUCUGGGAGCGCCAGCGAUGCCUGGCGUUUGUCUGGAGCGGGGAGAGGAGCGCGUCGUGGGCCUGCGGAGGUCGAGGCGGAAGGCAGCCUCAGCCCAGAUCACACCUCUGAAGGCUUCUGCACCGGGAAGAUAAGCCCCAUCUGUGUGAUUGGAAGCAAAACAACCUAAGGUGUGCAAGAAAUGUGGGGACAGGGGCCAGCACUGUGGCACAGUGGGUAAAGCCACCGCCUGCAGUGCUGGCAUCCCAUAUGGGCACCGGUUCAAGUCCCGGCUGCUCCUCUUCCGAUCCAGAUCUCUGCUAUGGCCUGGGAAAGCAGCAGAAGAUGGUCCAAGUGCUUGGGCCCCUUCACUUGCUUGGGAGACCUGGAAGAAGCUCUUGGCUCCGGAUCAACCCAGCUCCGGCUAUUGCAGCCAUUUGGGGAGUAUGGCUGGAAGAUGCCUCUCUUUCUCUCUCUGCUUCUGCCUCUUUGUAACUCUGCCUUUCAAACAAAUAAAUAAAUAUAAAAAAACAUAAAUGCGGGGAUGUGCACAAACCCUGACAUCUCCCAGCUGGUGCAGGGUGUCCUUGCCUGCAGGCAUGAGCAGGUCUGGCUAGGUUACCCACUUCCCAGAGUCGGUGGCCUCUCUACUAACAAGUCUUGAACGCAGUGCAUGGCUGUCCUGGCUGUCUCCUGCGACCCCAUCUGAUACCAGGCCCUCCCAGCCUCCUGGCCUUGGCUCUCAGAAUCCCAUCCACCUUUGAACUUUUCCAGGUUCCCGUCUGAGCGCCCACCCCACCCCCCUUGUCCAACGCAACUCUAAUUUUCUUCUGCUCCCAGUGAAUGGCGCACAUGCCUCUCUUUGCCACUAGAUGGCAGACUCCCAAAAGCAAGAAAUCACAUUUAUCUCUGCAUCCCCUUUCCCUUGAUAGUAAAAAUAUGCAAAUAAGAACAGUCAGGCCUCCUUAUCAGAGGGCUCUGCAUCCAUGCAUUCAAUCAAAAUUCGGAAAACAAUUGGCACAUGUACUGAACAUAAACCGACUUUUUUUUUUCUGCCUUCACUCCCUAAACAAUACAGUGUAACAACUGUUUGCUUCACAUUAGCUUGGUGUUGUGCAUUGUAAGUCAACUAAGAGAGGGUGUGCGCCAGGAGAUCGCAGCUUGAGGCAGUGCCCCAUGCCAGCAGAGAGUAACUCGUCACCCCCAUAUGAGCCGGAAGUAGCCCUAAAAGACAGAUCAUCGUCCCUCCACCCUCCUGGACUUUUGGGGCUGAUGUAAUCCGAUAGAACACUUGCUUUAUGAAAAACAAAAGGGGGGAAUGUUGGUUAAAUGGCAUGGUCUUAUCCGUGUCUCAAUCUACACCCUGGACACCCUCCUAGGCUCUGGCCCCUGCCGCCAUUGCUACAAGCCAGGUGACCAGAUGGCCCAACCACAGCUGACAUCAAGCCCCCGAGUAAGCCAGCAGCGAGGGCCGUAUUCAGAUGUUUGCAAGGUGACUCCUGCAUCCGGGCAGCCGAGCUGACAGACACUGCUUGUCAUUCGGAAAAAUGGGAGAAGCAUCCAAUGUAUGUUGAUACAUCCUUACGGCGGAACAUUAUGUAACUGUUAACAGAACCUCGUCUUUGAAAUGGAGCUAAUAACACUGUGAAUCUCCCCUGGUUUCUAAUGUGGGUUAAUUCAGUAAAUUAAUACCUACACAGUGCUUAGAUGCUAACUACUCAUCACCAUUACAGCGGUAAACAUAGAAGAAAGCAAGCUGUCGGCAAUAGGUGAGUGUGAUCUCAUUUGAGUAAGAAUUAACCAUAAUCCACAGAGGCAGAGAGAGAGAGAGAGAGAGAGAGUGAGCUCCCAUCUGCUGGUUGGUUCACUCCCCAAAUGCCCACAAUGGCUGGUACUGGACCAGGUCCGAGCCGGGAGCUAGCUGUCUACUACUCACAUCCUCAACCUGUGUGGUCAGGAAACCCCCCUGGGUUCCAGGGUACGAGGCCCGUCGGGGACCCAUGGAUGACUGGGAGCCAGCCAUUGCCCGCCCGGGGCCUCUGUGACCCGGGCACGUGCAGCCCAGCCUCACCGGCAUGCUGCGAGCAGACAGCAGGCAGAGUGUGCAUCAGAGCAGGGGACAGGCCCGAGCCUGGAGCAGGUGCAUCAGCCAGACAGAGUCUGUCCGCCAGGGCAUGCGAGUGCUGACGGCUGCUGUGUGCCGAGGAAGUUCCUUUUCCACAUAAUUAAUUUGUGGGAGAGGCAGUGAGACAGACAGACAGCGAGAGCGAGAGGGAGAGAGUGAGAGAGUGAGAGAGAGAGAGAGAGAGAGAGUGCCUACCCUCUGGUUCAUUCCCCCAAAUGCUUGCAAUGGCUGGGGCUGGGCCAGGCCAAAACCAGGAACCAGGAGCUCCAUCCGGGUCUCCCAUGUGGGUGGCAGGGACCCAGGGACUUGAGCCCUCACUGCUGCCUGCCCCCCAGGGUGUGCCUUGGCAGGAAGCGGGAGUCAGGGGCCAGGUACCAAACCCAGGCUCUGGGAUGUGUGCUGGGGGCAUCCUAGCAGCCCUCACACCAAACGCCUGGUUCACCCCACUUCCGGCACGGCAGGUGCCAGUGUCUUCUCUCAAUAUCGCUUGUCCAGCUCUGAUGCCAUCUGGGUCUCCAUCCAGGACUCCACAUGGGUGGCAGGGACCUGAGGACUUGAGCCAUUAUCUGCUGCCUCCCAGGGUGCCAUCAGGGAGCUGGGUCUGAAGCCAGGACCAGGCACUCCCCAGCACGAGUGUGCAAAAAUGGGAUGCGGUUGUCCCAAGUAGCAGCUUAACAGCUAUGCCGAAAGCCUGA
Molecule: non-coding RNA, 3401 nt
Organism: Oryctolagus cuniculus (rabbit)
Lineage: Eukaryota; Metazoa; Chordata; Mammalia; Lagomorpha; Leporidae
Source: RefSeq, a predicted model, not a curated record